Molecule: unclassified non-coding RNA, 309 nt
Filed under: plant metagenome
Description: partial contains 5.8S ribosomal RNA, internal transcribed spacer 2, and large subunit ribosomal RNA
Rfam family: 5.8S ribosomal RNA (bases 1-105)
Source: RNAcentral
GAAAUGCGAUAAGUAGUGUGAAUUGCAGAAUUCAGUGAAUCAUCGAAUCUUUGAACGCACAUUGCGCCCUUUGGUAUUCCUUAGGGCAUGCCUGUUCGAGCGUCAUUUGUACCCUCAAGCUCUGCUUGGUGUUGGGUGUUUGUCCCGUCUCCGCGCGUGGACUCGCCCCAAAGUGAUUGGCAGCCGGCGUACUGGUCCCGGAGCGCAGCACAUGUCGCGCAAACGAGUGCCUUGGUACGGCGGCGUCCAUAAGCCCCUCUCUCACGCUCUUGACCUCGGAUCAGGUAGGGAUACCCGCUGAACUUAAGC